Molecule: long non-coding RNA, 430 nt
Filed under: Nicotiana benthamiana
Lineage: Eukaryota; Viridiplantae; Streptophyta; Magnoliopsida; Solanales; Solanaceae
Description: long non-coding RNA (NBEN_LNC002304)
Source: RNAcentral
UGUAUUUUAGUUUAUUUUUUCUGUGCCUCGUGCAAGCUUUUGUACACUUGUAGCAUGUUUGUUGGUGUGUAAGACGAGGCAUUUCAUGAUCUGCUCUUUCUAUUUAAAUCUCCCUCAGCCCAAUAGGAUAGAUGGCGUCAGUUAUGCCUUUUUGUUUGGUGUUUUCCAUCCAUUUUUCAUUGUUAGGUUUUGUAUUUUAACGUAAAUUAAAAAGAUCUGCUAUAGAAGAAAAAGGAGCAAGGCCCCAUGUGACAUGAGAAAUGCUAUUGGUGGAUAGGAUCAAAGACUGACCGUAGAUGGAUCCUGCAUAGAUGAAUUAAAUUUUUGCUCCCAUCAUCAAGCUUGGAUGAGACUCUGAGCUCAUCAUAUUGGUUUUUCACUCAGUUUGGUAGAUAUAGGCAAUUUUAUGUGCAAUAGGACUAGGAAUGGC